This 253-nucleotide ribosomal RNA is filed under the name uncultured bacterium. Its description in RNAcentral is "partial 16S ribosomal RNA". It matches the Rfam family "Bacterial small subunit ribosomal RNA", at positions 524 to 776 of the family's 1533-position model. The record is from RNAcentral.
UACGGAGGGUGCUAGCGUUGUUCGGAAUUACUGGGCGUAAAGCGCACGUAGGCGGCUUUGUAAGUUAGAGGUGAAAGCCCGGGGCUCAACUCCGGAAUUGCCUUUAAGACUGCAUCGCUAGAAUUGUGGAGAGGUAAGUGGAAUUCCGAGUGUAGAGGUGAAAUUCGUAGAUAUUCGGAAGAACACCAGUGGCGAAGGCGACUUACUGGACACAUAUUGACGCUGAGGCGCGAAAGCGUGGGGAGCAAACAGG